AUUUUUCUAGUAUAAUUUAGUACAACUAACUUCCAAUUAGUAAGUUUGAAAUAUCAAGAAAAAUA
RNAcentral lists this transfer RNA (65 nucleotides) under Atractomorpha lata. RNAcentral describes it as "tRNA-Gly". RNAcentral also lists the same sequence under 1 other name. Lineage: Eukaryota; Metazoa; Arthropoda; Insecta; Orthoptera; Pyrgomorphidae. The record is from RNAcentral.